Molecule: long non-coding RNA, 1114 nt
Filed under: Sus scrofa (pig)
Lineage: Eukaryota; Metazoa; Chordata; Mammalia; Artiodactyla; Suidae
Description: lncRNA (ENSSSCG00070006014.1)
Source: RNAcentral
CGGGUGCACCAGCUGGGCAUGUGGUGCAUGCCACUCCUCUGCCCUGGUCCCUUCUGGGACGUUUUCACUCCGAGUGUUUCUUUUCACAACCUCCAUUGUUGCCCAGUUUCUUCCUCUGGAUGCAGCAACGGGCAACUUAGGACCUUUCAUUGUGCUCGCCUGCUCUGCCCCUGCCUCGCGGGGGCAUGUCCGUGAGGCAGGGAACAUCUGCCCUCACACAGGACACGUUGCCACCCGGGGAGCACCGUGGAUCCAGUGCCAUCCCUGCCCUCAGUGGCCCGGGGACUGGGGGACGUGCAGCUCCCGCCUCCUGUAGAAGCAGAUACGUAGGCAUCUCUGCAUGCAGCACCCAGGCUCCUACAGGACUUCCCGUGGCCGCGCACUGACCGCAGCAAUGAAGGUCAGGGUGAUGCCACCGGGGGCGCUGCGGGGCCCAUGUGUCACUAGCGGUCACUGCUCUGCCCCCUGGACUAAUGGGACACCAGACGCUGCAUCCACAGCCCAAGACACUGGCACUGGGUGGGGGCUGAGGCUCAGGACGAGCACACACAGCCGUCUCCCGGGAGCCCAGCAGGGAGAGCGGCUGCAGGUCCAGCAUGCUCAGGGUGCACACAGGGCAGGUGGGAGAGAGUGGGCCAGCAGGUUCCAGAGGCGGCAAGGAGUGAGGCUGCCAAUGGGAUGGGGCUAUCGUUCCUCAUCUUUCCCAGUGCAGUUUAUUUCAGAAUCUUCACAGGGAAACAGCUUUCAGAAAAGGGACCGUGUACACACAGCGAUGCUAUUUGUUUCGCCACUACUCGCCAGCGGCCACACCGGGGGGCGCAACACAAGAAUUGUGUUAAACUGGGCAGCCCAGGCCCUGCCCGGAACCAAGAGCAGCUGCGCCCCAUCCGGGUGGUCUCGGAAGCCAGCCUGGGCUCCUCUGAUGAUGCACAGGCCCAGGGCAGACAGGGCCCGCUGCCCUCUGGCUGCAGGAGGACCUGGCCGAUGCAGCCCUGCGUCCCAGAGACACGGGGGCGCCCCGCCUUGCUUCUGUGACCACCUGCUCAGCAGAGUCAGCGCCAGGCAGGGGCCCAGGGUAAGGGCCAGUGCGGACUUGGGGUGCAGCAGUGCCAGG